Molecule: ribosomal RNA, 492 nt
Filed under: uncultured bacterium
Lineage: Bacteria
Description: partial 16S ribosomal RNA
Rfam family: Bacterial small subunit ribosomal RNA
Source: RNAcentral
AGUGAACGCUGGCGGUAGGCCUAACACAUGCAAGUCGAACGGCGGCACAGUAAGAGCUUGCUCUUACGGGUGGCGAGUGGCGGACGGGUGAGGAAUACAUCGGAAUCUACUUUUUCGUGGGGGAUAACGUAGGGAAACUUACGCUAAUACCGCAUACGACCUACGGGUGAAAGCAGGGGAUCUUCGGACCUUGCGCGAUUGAAUGAGCCGAUGUCGGAUUAGCUAGUUGGCGGGGUAAAGGCCCACCAAGGCGACGAUCCGUAGCUGGUCUGAGAGGAUGGACAGCCACACUGGAACUGAGACACGGUCCAGAGUCCGCCGGGAGGCAGCAGUGGGGAUUAUUGGACAAUGGGCGCAAGCCUGAUACAGCCAUACCGCGUAGGUGAAGAAGGCCUUCGUGUUGUAAAGCCCUUUUGUUGGGAAAGAAAAGCAGCAGGUUAAUACCCCGCUGUUCUGACGGUACCCAAAGAAUAAGCACCGGCUAACUUCGUG